AUUGAACGCUGGCGGCAGGCUUAACACAUGCAAGUCGAGCGGAGACUUCGGUCUUAGCGGCGAACGGGUGAGUAAUACCUAGGAAUCUGCCUAUUAGUGGGGGAUAACGAAUCGAAAGGUUCGCUAAUACCGCAUACGUCCUACGGGAGAAAGGGGGGGAUCUUCGGACCUCUCGCUAAUAGAUGAGCCUAGGCCGGAUUAGCUAGUUGGUAGGGUAAAGGCCUACCAAGGCGACGAUCUGUAGCUGGUCUGAGAGGAUGGCCAGCCACACUGGAACUGAGACACGGUCCAGACUCCUACGGGAGGCAGCAGUGGGGGAAUAUUGGACAAUGGGGGCAACCCUGAUCCAGCCAUGCCGCGUGUGUGAAGAAGGCCUCGGUUGUAAG
This 386-nucleotide ribosomal RNA is filed under the name uncultured bacterium. RNAcentral describes it as "bacterial SSU rRNA". It matches the Rfam family "Bacterial small subunit ribosomal RNA", at positions 30 to 429 of the family's 1533-position model. The record is from RNAcentral.